This 620-nucleotide ribosomal RNA is filed under the name Microbacterium sp. I12A-00808. Its description in RNAcentral is "bacterial SSU rRNA". It matches the Rfam family "Bacterial small subunit ribosomal RNA", at positions 94 to 727 of the family's 1533-position model. The record is from RNAcentral. Lineage: Bacteria; Bacillati; Actinomycetota; Actinomycetes; Micrococcales; Microbacteriaceae.
AGUGGCGAACGGGUGAGUAACACGUGAGCAACCUGCCCCUGACUCUGGGAUAAGCGCUGGAAACGGCGUCUAAUACUGGAUACGAGUAGCGAUCGCAUGGUCAGUUACUGGAAAGAUUUUUUGGUUGGGGAUGGGCUCGCGGCCUAUCAGCUUGUUGGUGAGGUAAUGGCUCACCAAGGCGUCGACGGGUAGCCGGCCUGAGAGGGUGACCGGCCACACUGGGACUGAGACACGGCCCAGACUCCUACGGGAGGCAGCAGUGGGGAAUAUUGCACAAUGGGCGGAAGCCUGAUGCAGCAACGCCGCGUGAGGGAUGACGGCCUUCGGGUUGUAAACCUCUUUUAGCAGGGAAGAAGCGAGAGUGACGGUACCUGCAGAAAAAGCGCCGGCUAACUACGUGCCAGCAGCCGCGGUAAUACGUAGGGCGCAAGCGUUAUCCGGAAUUAUUGGGCGUAAAGAGCUCGUAGGCGGUUUGUCGCGUCUGCUGUGAAAUCCCGAGGCUCAACCUCGGGCCUGCAGUGGGUACGGGCAGACUAGAGUGCGGUAGGGGAGAUUGGAAUUCCUGGUGUAGCGGUGGAAUGCGCAGAUAUCAGGAGGAACACCGAUGGCGAAGGCAGAUC